Molecule: ribosomal RNA, 424 nt
Filed under: uncultured prokaryote
Description: bacterial SSU rRNA
Rfam family: Bacterial small subunit ribosomal RNA
Source: RNAcentral
UGGGGAAUUUUGCGCAAUGGGCGAAAGCCUGACGCAGCAAUGCCGCGUGGGUGAAGAAGGCCUUUGGGUCGUAAAGCCCUUUUCUGAGGGAAGAGACUGACGGUACCUCAGGAAUAAGCACCGGCUAACUCCGUGCCAGCAGCCGCGGUAAUACGGAGGGUGCAAGCGUUGUUCGGAUUUACUGGGCGUAAAGGGCGUGUAGGCGGAUGCGUCAGCCGGUGGUGAAAGGCCCGGGCCCAACUCGGGCAGGUCUGCCGGAACUGCGCAUCUAGAGAGGGUCAGAGGCAGGUGGAAUUCCGGGUGUAGAGGUGAAAUUCGUAGAGAUCCGGAGGAACACCGGCGGCGAAGGCGGCCUGCUGGGGCCCAUCUGACGCUGAGGCGCGAAAGCGUGGGGAGCAAACAGGAUUAGAUACCCCCGUAGUCC